RNAcentral lists this ribosomal RNA (2199 nucleotides) under Spirochaetota bacterium. Its description in RNAcentral is "partial 23S ribosomal RNA". It matches the Rfam family "Bacterial large subunit ribosomal RNA", at positions 712 to 2925 of the family's 2925-position model. Lineage: Bacteria; Pseudomonadati; Spirochaetota. The record is from RNAcentral.
GACCCGAAACCAGGUGAUCUAUCCAUGGCCAGGGUAAAGCGUUGGUAACACAGCGUGGAGGCCCGAACCCACUAACGUUGAAAAGUUAGGGGAUGAGCUGUGGUUAGGAGUGAAAGGCUAAUCAAACCUGGAGAUAGCUGGUACUCCCCGAAAUAGUUUUAGGACUAGCCUCUUGUAAUGUCUUAUGGUGGUAGAGCACUGAAUGGAUUAGGGCCCUCACCAGGGUACCAAACCCAAUCAAACUCCGAAUGCCAUAAGAUAGUAAAGGGAGUCAGACCGUGGGGGAUAAGCUUCACGGUCAAGAGGGAAAGAGCCCAGACCAUCAUCUAAGGUCCCUAAAUAUAUGCUUAGUGUGAAAGGAAGUAAAAUUGCUCAGACAGCCAGGAGGUUGGCUUAGAAGCAGCCAUUCCUUUAAAGAGUGCGUAAUAGCUCACUGGUCGAGUAGUAUUGUGCCGAAAAUGUAACGGGGCUCAAGCAUAUUACCGAAGAUAUGGACUACGUAAGUAGUGGUAGGGGAGCAUUCUGUAAGCCGUCGAAGGUGUAUCGUAAGGUAUGCUGGAGGUAUCAGAAGAGAGAAUGCCGGUAUAAGUAACGAAAAAACAGGAGAAUAACCUGUUCGCCGAAAACCCAAGGUUUCCUGGGUAAAGUUAAUCUGCUCAGGGUUAGUCGGCCCCUAAGGCGAGGCUGAAAAGCGUAGUCGAUGGGAAACUGGUUAAUAUUCCAGUACCACUUAAAAGUGCGAUGGGAUGACGCAGUAAGUUAUGUUGUGCGUGCUGAUGGUUUAGCGCGUGAAAGCUCUAGGCCGGGAGGGUUAAAUCCCUCCAUAAAGCUGAAAGUGAGUAUGACACUUCCUUCGGGUCGUGGAAAUUGACAAAGCUACACUGCCAAGAAAUAAUCUCUAAGCUUCAGCUUUUGAGUGACCGUACCUUAAACCGACACAGGUGGGUGAGAUGAGUAUUCUAAGGCGCUCGAGUGAAAUCUCGUUAAGGAACUCGGCAAAAUGCCUCCGUAUCCUUGGUAGAAGGAGGGCCUCACUCCGGUGAGGUUGCAAAAAAAUGGCCCAAUCGACUGUUUAGCAAAAACACAGGUCUGUGCUAAAAUUCAAAUUGAUGUAUACAGACUGACACCUGCCCGGUGCUGGAAGGUUAAGGAAGUGGGUUAUCCUUCGGGAGAAGCUUGCGACUGAAGCCCCAGUGAACGGCGGCCGUAACUAUAACGGUCCUAAGGUAGCGAAAUUCCUUGUCGGGUAAGUUCCGACCUGCACGAAUGGUGUAACGAAUUGGGCACUGUCUCAACGAGAAGCUCGGUGAAAUUGAAUUAUCAGUGAAGAUGCUGAUUACCUACGAUAAGACGGAAAGACCCCGUGAACCUUUACUAUAGCUUGGCAUUGAGAUUUGGUGUGAUAUGUGUAGGAUAGGUGGGAGACUGUGAGACGGGCACGCUAGUGCUCGUGGAGUCAUCCUUGAAAUACCACCCUUAUCACAUUGAGUUUCUAAUCACAUACCGUUAUCCGGGUGUGAGACAAUGUCUGGUGGGUAGUUUGACUGGGGCGGUCGCCUCCUAAAAUGUAACGGAGGUGUACAAAGGUUCCCUCAAUACGGUUGGAAAUCGUAUGCAGAGUGCAAAGGCAUAAGGGAGCUUGACUGCAAGAGCUACAACUCAAGCAGGUGCGAAAGCAGGUCUUAGUGAUCCGGCGGUUGCGCGUGGAAGCGCCGUCGCUCAACGGAUAAAAGGUACUCCGGGGAUAACAGGCUUAUCUCCCCCAAGAGUUCACAUCGACGGGGAGGUUUGGCACCUCGAUGUCGGCUCAUCGCAUCCUGGGGCUGGAGAAGGUCCCAAGGGUUUGGCUGUUCGCCAAUUAAAGCGGUACGCGAGCUGGGUUCAGAACGUCGUGAGACAGUUCGGUCCCUAUCUAUCGUAGGCGUUGGAUAUUUGAGGAGAGCUGCUCCUAGUACGAGAGGACCGGAGUGGACGUACCACUGGUGCACCAGUUGUUCCGCCAGGAGCAUGGCUGGGUAGCUAUGUACGGAAGGGAUAACUGCUGAAAGCAUCUAAGCAGGAAGCCUCCUCCAAGAUAAGAUAUCCCGAUCCUUUUGGAUCCUAAAGACUCCUUAUAGACUAUAAGGUCGAUAGGCUGUAGGUGUAAGUGCAGUAAUGUAUUUAGCUGAGCAGUACUAAUCAGUCGUGUGGCUUGACCAU